GGAGAGGUGGCCGAGCGGUCGAAGGCGCACGCCUGGAAAGCGUGUAUACCCGGAAGGGUAUCGCGGGUUCGAAUCCCGCUCUCUCCG
This 87-nucleotide transfer RNA is filed under the name Saprospiraceae bacterium. RNAcentral describes it as "tRNA-Ser". It matches the Rfam family "tRNA". From Rfam's summary of the family: Transfer RNA (tRNA) molecules are approximately 80 nucleotides in length. Their secondary structure includes four short double-helical elements and three loops (D, anti-codon, and T loops). The record is from RNAcentral. Lineage: Bacteria; Pseudomonadati; Bacteroidota; Saprospiria; Saprospirales; Saprospiraceae.